RNAcentral lists this non-coding RNA (22 nucleotides) under Ovis aries (sheep). RNAcentral also lists the same sequence under 1 other name. Lineage: Eukaryota; Metazoa; Chordata; Mammalia; Artiodactyla; Bovidae. The record is from RNAcentral.
UGAGGUAGUAGUUUGUACAGUC